RNAcentral lists this unclassified non-coding RNA (358 nucleotides) under soil metagenome. RNAcentral's name for it is "partial contains 5.8S ribosomal RNA, internal transcribed spacer 2, and large subunit ribosomal RNA". The stretch from base 1 to 120 matches the Rfam family "5.8S ribosomal RNA", at positions 35 to 154 of the family's 154-position model. The record is from RNAcentral.
GAUGAAGAACGUAGCGAAAUGCGAUAAGUAAUGUGAAUUGCAGAAUUCAGUGAAUCAUCGAAUCUUUGAACGCACAUUGCGCCCGCCAGUAUUCUGGCGGGCAUGCCUGUCCGAGCGCCAUUUCAACCCUCGAACCCCUCCGGGGGGUCGGCGUUGGGGACCUCGGGAGCCCCUAAGACGGGAUCCCGGCCCCGAAAUACAGUGGCGGUCUCGCCGCAGCAUCUCCUGCGCAGUAGUUUGCACAACUCGCACCGGGAGCGCGGCGCGUCCACGUCCGUAAAACACCCAACUUCUGAAAUGUUGACCUCGGAUCAGGUAGGAAUACCCGCUGAACUUAAGCAUAUCAAUAAGCGGAGGA